Molecule: long non-coding RNA, 1403 nt
Organism: Ruditapes philippinarum (Manila clam)
Lineage: Eukaryota; Metazoa; Mollusca; Bivalvia; Venerida; Veneridae
Exons: 4
Source: RefSeq, a predicted model, not a curated record
ACCGGUGAAGUGACAGAAUUGAACUGAAUUGAACAAUUUUCCGUCGUUAGCUUCAUUAAUAUUCAUAUCCAAAGAGCGGGAUUUGUAAAAUGUUUUCAUUGGUCAAUGCAAAUGUCACAUUUAUAAAUAACAACAACAACAACAAGCCAGCAUCUGAAUUGUUAGGGAAUUGUCAAACAUCUAGUCAGAAGUUUCUUAAUUAUUACACAUGAGGAAGUGAGAAGUUUUUUUUAUUCUAAAACUAUCACACAUGAGGAAGUAAAAGAAUGUGUUGUGUACAAUGCAAGGUCCUACAUAUGUGACGGCAACUUCUUUCAAGAAUGGUGGGGGAAAUGAUAUACAGCAAAUUUAAAGGAGGUUUACCAGCAGGUCAUUUGUACUGUGGGAACUGUGGAGGUAAAAGUGAAGCAGACUUUGCCCUCAUUAUGAAUAUCAACCUUUUCCCAAGUGACACUGAAUGAAAUUCAAGAGGAUUGCAAUUGUACACAUUUGAUCAGGUGACUAAGGAAAGGGGACACUGUCUCUUGAAAAUCAGAUCUACAAUUUACUUGUCCAGAGUUAUUGGGGACCUGAUUCAGGGGCCAGGAUGGAUGUUAAUAUCAUCCAAGAAUUUCGAGACAUGUGCAACUUGAUGAAGACUUUACAAAACAAAAAUUGCUUAAUUAACACAUACUUUAACUUACAACCUCCUGUCAGACAUUUCUGCAAGGAAUCAAUUGUACCAUACACCAAAGGCUUAUAGUGAUUUUGACAUUUUUUAAGUUUAUGGUAUUUUUUAUGAAUCAUAACAAAUGGAUUCAGAAUCUCCUUGUUAGAGAUUAUGUUGAUUAUUCAGUUUGAAUGAGGGGACACAUUCAGAACACCUUGCCAAUAACAGUAUACCGAUAAUCCUCUUGCAAAAAGUUCUGUUAUGUCUUUUUAUAAAGUAACAAAUGAAGAGGGCAAGGAGUAAUAAACAUAUUUAUUAGAAUUCCUACAUAUAGGAAAUUUAAGUGUAUUUCAGUGACUAGUAUAAUAAUAAUUUCAAAGACGUCUCAGAAUAUAAAUAAACAAUUACAAUGUAAAUCCCCCCCACCAGCAUACAAUUACAAUAAAAGGACUAGAAAUAACAUAAAAAUCAUGUAUUUGCAUUCUUGCUUUGUAAGAACAUAGUAGUGUAAUCAUCAAUCAAGAAAUGUACAUUUUACUUUCAUAACUUAAAAUAUUUUUAUUUAAAUGGACUUUUUCCUAACAUUUAUUUUCUUGUCAUGUUAUUUGAUAAACAUGUAUAAUAAUGUACAGAUAUUUUUUGUGUUUGAAUGAAACUUUAUAUAUAUUUGUUCUUGUUGUACCAAUUACUUAUUAUAUUUUGUAAACACAUAUGGAGAGUGCAAUUUUCUUUACAUAUUAAAUUUGUUUUAGUA